UCCUUAAGGUGGCUCGGGCCUAUUCGAAGUUUCUAUCAGAAGUGCCGUAUUUUUUGUUAUUUUAUUCUUUACAGAAAGUGUAUCAAAUUGAUCGAAAAAAAAUAGGGGGUCACGAACCAUUUAAGAUCAAAGUUUUACUUUUAAACAGGUAUGUAAAAGGGACCAUUUUUCAAUAAUGACAUGAUAGGGAAAAUAGAGGUGUUGACAUAUUUUUAUCGGAAUAUCAAAAAAACGUUCUUUGACACUUGGUCCAAAACUGUAAUAUAAAAAGCGGAACUAUAGCUUCAUAGAAUGAGCAAAUAAAAAACAUAGGUCACCGAUAAGGAAAAAAAAAUAUUUUGCCUUAAAACCAAAUUUUGGCGGGAAAAUGAUGAAAAUGGGUGAAAUUUUAUUUUGACCCUUUAACAAAUACGGAUAAUAACGAAAAUAUUCUAUUAGUCACAUAACUACAAUGAUUAACAUUUCUAAUCAAUAAAAAUAUUUAAAAAAAAUUAUAUCGAAUCUACGACAAAUACUUUUGUAAUUCAUGCGUGAAAUUAUGCGUAGUCGAAUAGUCCCGAGCCACCUUAA
Molecule: long non-coding RNA, 570 nt
Filed under: Mytilus galloprovincialis (Mediterranean mussel)
Lineage: Eukaryota; Metazoa; Mollusca; Bivalvia; Mytilida; Mytilidae
Source: RNAcentral